This 1041-nucleotide long non-coding RNA is filed under the name Sus scrofa (pig). RNAcentral's name for it is "lncRNA (ENSSSCG00070002299.1)". The record is from RNAcentral. Lineage: Eukaryota; Metazoa; Chordata; Mammalia; Artiodactyla; Suidae.
UGGGGUGGGGUGAGGUGGGAGGAAGGAUCUCCUCUCCCCCCGCCCCAGCAGCGGAAGCGUCUAAGGGGUUAAAAUGGCGCUGCCGAAUGCGGGUGAGGAGCGGAGCCAGGGUUCGGCCCCGACGGGCGGGAGAAGCGCGGUGGGGGUGUGGGAUCCCGGAAAAGGCUGGGAAAGCGGGGACCAAGGGGAGGUGUGAGGAGGCGAGAGUUGUUGCUCUUGGGGGCUAGGUCCAAGGCAGUUGCCGGCAGUAGUGGGGACGGGACCGGCAGCUGGAGAGCCAAGCCGUGGUUCGUGCACGUCUUGCCCCCCUGAGCAGGGUUAUGUCAGGAGAGCGCCCUGGCACCGAGCUCUGGCCCGCGGAGAAGAUACUCCCCCUCGGGCUCUCUCCGCGAGCGGGGCUGGGCGGGCGCCGAGGGGCGGGCGGUGCGCCGCGCGAGCCCAGGGCGCUGAGGUCGGCAAGUCGCCUUCGGAGCGGGCGGCGGCGCUUCUCCAGUCCACGAGGAAAAACUCAUCUGAAAAGGCACCGUCUCGAGCAAAACUAGAGGCGCGUUCCUCCAGAGGAAGGCUGAAGUUCAGGCCCCGCGUAGAACCCGGGCAGCCCCGGCUGGCCGACCUCGGGCUCGCUUCUUACAGGGAGGAGGUGAGCGUCCUUUCCGAACAGCCCUGGGCGGGGAGCGCGCGACUGCGGCGCGCUCGGCGCUGGGCCCCGCUGCGGGCCAGAGCGUUACCGCAGGAAACGCCUCGUCCCGUUUUCGGUCCCCCAGUCAGAACAUUUGGCUGAAUCUCGAAAUAACUUUUCUGAUAGUCUGGAAAAGAAACACGACUAAUAGACUCACCAUCAGCCUUGCGUCAGAGAACCAUUCAUUUCCCCUGGACUACAGUGAGAUUGGUUUUUUCAUUAGUUGCAGGAACUGAGUUUUUGAUGAUUUACCUGGCUGCUCAAGCUCCUGGGUGUAUUCUCCUCCCCUCCUUUCCCAUUUCAUCUGGUUGUCAACUCACCACCCCCCCUUUAGAAAAAAAAUAAACCAACUCCGAUACUCA